RNAcentral lists this transfer RNA (87 nucleotides) under Callipsygma wilsonis. RNAcentral describes it as "tRNA-Leu". It matches the Rfam family "tRNA". From Rfam's summary of the family: Transfer RNA (tRNA) molecules are approximately 80 nucleotides in length. Lineage: Eukaryota; Viridiplantae; Chlorophyta; Ulvophyceae; Bryopsidales; Halimedaceae. The record is from RNAcentral.
UGCCUUGAUGGUGAAAUGGUAAACAUAAUUAAUUCAAAAUUAGUAACUUAAUAAAAAGUUUAGAGGUUCAACUCCUCUUCAAGGCAA